This 387-nucleotide ribosomal RNA is filed under the name uncultured bacterium. RNAcentral describes it as "bacterial SSU rRNA". It matches the Rfam family "Bacterial small subunit ribosomal RNA", at positions 28 to 417 of the family's 1533-position model. The record is from RNAcentral.
GACGAACGCUGGCGGCGUGCUUAACACAUGCAAGUCGAGCGGUAAGGCCCUUUCGGGGGUACGACGAGCGGCGAACGGGUGAGUAACACGUGGGUGACCUGCCCUCAGCUCUGGAUAAGCCUGGGAAACCGGGUCUAAUACUGGAUAUGACUCCAUGACGCAUGUUGUGGGGUGGAAAGCCUUGUGCGGCUGAGGAUGGGCCCGCGGCCUAUCAGCUUGUUGGUGGGGUGAUGGCCUACCAAGGCGACGACGGUAGCCGGCCUGAGAGGGCGACCGGCCACACUGGGACUGAGACACGGCCCAGACUCCUACGGGAGGCAGCAGUGGGGAAUCUUGCGCAAUGGGCGAAAGCCUGACGCAGCGACGCCGCGUGAGGGAUGACGGCCU